AAAAAAAAAAAAAAAGAGACGGGGUUUCACUAUGUUGCUCAGGCUGGUUUCAAACUCUUGGGCUCGAACGGUCUUCCUGCCUCAGCCUCCCAAAAUGCUGGCAUUAUAGGCAUGAGCCACUGCACCCAGCCUGCCGUGUGACUUCUGACUAACCCGAAACUGGGAAUGCCUCCAACAUGUCUAACGGAUGUGUUACUCUUUAUGUAGAAACACGUACUUACCAGCCUUUCCUCCAGAACAAGCCUUGAUGUUGUCACAUCCAUCACAAGAUGUAUCGCCCAUAGCCACCUACGCGUUUCUUCCAGAGCACAGAUAUGCUUUCCUCGAGAUAGAAGCCCUGUGUCUGGGGGUUGCAGGGUGUGAUCUAUCUGUCUUGCUGCUGCCCAAGACCACACUUCUU
This 400-nucleotide long non-coding RNA is filed under the name Homo sapiens (human). RNAcentral describes it as "LHRI_LNC381.1". The record is from RNAcentral. Lineage: Eukaryota; Metazoa; Chordata; Mammalia; Primates; Hominidae.